This 123-nucleotide microRNA precursor is filed under the name Olea europaea subsp. europaea. The record is from RNAcentral. Lineage: Eukaryota; Viridiplantae; Streptophyta; Magnoliopsida; Lamiales; Oleaceae.
UUUAUUGCCAAUGCAGCAUCAUCAAGAUUCUCAGUACCAAAAAGCUAUGGCAGAGCGAAAAAGCAAUGAACUCACCACCUUGCUUUUUCAUGUGAAUCUUGAUGGUGCUACACCAGCAAACAA